CCUUUCGCCUUCCUUCAUGUGAAACAGUUCAUAUGCAUGGGUUGGAAAAUCAACUUUAGGCUCUCUUACCUGGUCCGUACCUUCGUACAUGAUUUCCAGCUUAUCCCACGUUUGCUUCGCCGUUGUGCAACAUGAUAUUUUUUUGUAAUCAUCAGCGUUUACAGCACAAUAUAAUAAGUUGAUGGCUUUAGCAUUAUUCUGCACUUUUCGGAUAUCAUCCGCAUCGUAUUCAUCUUCGGAUUUUGGAACCCAUUCAUUUUCAACCUUUUUGGUUGGAAUUUGUUCUCCCU
RNAcentral lists this long non-coding RNA (290 nucleotides) under Nicotiana benthamiana. Its description in RNAcentral is "long non-coding RNA (NBEN_LNC029038)". The record is from RNAcentral. Lineage: Eukaryota; Viridiplantae; Streptophyta; Magnoliopsida; Solanales; Solanaceae.